RNAcentral lists this ribosomal RNA (465 nucleotides) under Vreelandella stevensii. RNAcentral describes it as "partial 16S ribosomal RNA". It matches the Rfam family "Bacterial small subunit ribosomal RNA", at positions 338 to 795 of the family's 1533-position model. Lineage: Bacteria; Pseudomonadati; Pseudomonadota; Gammaproteobacteria; Oceanospirillales; Halomonadaceae. The record is from RNAcentral.
CCUACGGGCGGCAGCAGUGGGGAAUAUUGGACAAUGGGCGAAAGCCUGAUCCAGCCAUGCCGCGUGUGUGAAGAAGGCCUUCGGGUUGUAAAGCACUUUCAGUGGGGAAGAAAGCCUUGGGGCUAAUACCCUCGAGGAAGGACAUCACCCACAGAAGAAGCACCGGCUAACUCCGUGCCAGCAGCCGCGGUAAUACGGAGGGUGCGAGCGUUAAUCGGAAUUACUGGGCGUAAAGCGCGCGUAGGCGGUCUGAUAAGCCGGUUGUGAAAGCCCCGGGCUCAACCUGGGAACGGCAUCCGGAACUGUCAGGCUAGAGUGCAGGAGAGGAAGGUAGAAUUCCCGGUGUAGCGGUGAAAUGCGUAGAGAUCGGGAGGAAUACCUGUGGCGAAGGCGGCCUUCUGGACUGACACUGACGCUGAGGUGCGAAAGCGUGGGUAGCAAACAGGAUUAGAUACCCUAGUAGUC